UUAGGAAUAUUGGGCAAUGGAGGAAACUCUGACCCAGCAACGCCGCGUGAAGGAAGAAGGUUUUCGGAUUGUAAACUUCUGAUCUGUGGGAAGAAGGAAAUGACGGUACCACAGGAGAAAGCCACGGCUAACUACGUGCCAGCAGCCGCGGUAAUACGUAGGUGGCGAGCGUUGUCCGGAAUAACUGGGCGUAAAGGGAGCGUAGGUGGUGAUUUAAGUUAGGUGUGAAAGCCCAGGGCUCAACUCUGGAAUUGCACUUAAAACCUGGGUCACUAGAGUGCAGGAGGGGUGAACGGAAUUUCUAGUGUAGCGGUGAAAUGCGUAGAUAUUAGGAAGAACACCGGAGGCGAAGGCGGUUCACUGGACUGCAACUGACACUGAGGCUCGAAAGCGUGGGGAGCAAACAGGAUUAGAUACCC
This 419-nucleotide ribosomal RNA is filed under the name uncultured bacterium. RNAcentral's name for it is "bacterial SSU rRNA". It matches the Rfam family "Bacterial small subunit ribosomal RNA", at positions 355 to 787 of the family's 1533-position model. The record is from RNAcentral.